RNAcentral lists this ribosomal RNA (1468 nucleotides) under uncultured Bordetella sp. RNAcentral's name for it is "partial 16S-23S ribosomal RNA intergenic spacer". It matches the Rfam family "Bacterial small subunit ribosomal RNA". Lineage: Bacteria; Pseudomonadati; Pseudomonadota; Betaproteobacteria; Burkholderiales; Alcaligenaceae. The record is from RNAcentral.
AGUUCGAUCCUGGCUCAGAUUAACGGCUGGCGGGAUGCUUUACACAUGCAAGUCGAACGGCACGGACUUCGGUCUGGUGGCGAGUGGCGAACGGGUGAGUAAUGUAUCGGAACGUGCCUAGAAGUGGGGAUAACUACGCGAAAGGUAGCUAAUACCGCAUACGCCCUUCGGGGGAAAGCGGGGGGACCUUCGCCUCGCACUAUUAGAGCGGCCGAUAUCGGAUUAGCUAGUUGGUGGGGUAACGGCUCACCAAGGCACGAUCCGUAGCUGGUUUGAGACGACCAGCCAUUUUACCGACUGAGACACGGCCCAGACUCCUACGGGAGGCAGCAGGGGGAAUUUGGACAAUGGGGGAAACCCUGAUCCAGCCAUCCCGCGUGUGCGAUGAAGGCCUUCGGGUUGUAAAGCACUUUUUGGCAGGAAAGAAACGGCACGGGAUACCCCGUGCAACUGACGGUACCUGCAGAAUAAGCACUGGCUAAAUUACGCCAGCAGCCGCGGUAAUACGUAGGGUGCAAGCGUUAAUCACCAUUGGGCGUAAGCGUGCGCAGGCGGUUCGGAAAGAAAGAUAAAUCCCAGAGCUUAACUUUGAACUGCAUUUUUAACUACCGAGCUAGAGUGUGCGUCAGAGGGAGGUGUGAAUUCCGCGUGUAGCAGUGAAAUGCGUAGAUAUGCGGAGGAACACCGAUGGCGAAGGCAGCCUCCUGGGAUAACACUGACGCUCACGCACGAAAGCGUGGGGAGCAAACAGGAUUAGAUACCCUGGUAGUCCACGCCCCAAACGAUGUCAAAUCAGCUGUUGGGGCCUUCGGGCCUUGGUAGUUGUUAACGCGGGUGAAGUUGACCCGCCUGGGGAGUACGGUCGCAAGAUUAAAAACUCAAAGGAAUUGACGGGUGGGACCCGCACAUGUGGAUGAUGUGGAUUAAUUCGAUGCAACGAAAACUAUACCUACCCUUGUAGCAGGCACGGCCUGGAAUCCCGAAAGAGAUUGGGAGUGCUCGCAAGAGAACCGGAACACAGGUGCCGCAUGGCUGUCGUCAGGUCGCCGUGAGAUGUUGGGUUAAGUCCCUGCAACGAGCGCAACCUCUUGUCAUUAGUUGCUACGAAAGGGCACUCUAAUGAGACUGCGCGGUGACAAACCGGAGGAAGGUGAUGACGUCAAGUCCGCGGCCCUUAUGGGUAGCUCACACGUCAUGCAGCCGUCGGGAGCAGAGGGUCGCCAACCCGCGAGGGGGAGCCAAUCCCAGAAACCUGAUCGUAGUCCGGAUCGCAGUCUGCAACUCGACUGCGUGAAGUCGGAAUCGCUAGUAAUCGCGGAUCAGCAUGUCGCAGAAUACGUUCCCGGGUCUGAAGCACACCGCCCGUCACACCAUGGGAGUGGGUUUUACCAGAAGUAGUUAGCCUAACCGUAAGGAGGGCGAUUACCACGGUAGGAUUCAUGACUGGGGUGAAGUCGUAACAAGGUAG